CGGUACAGCUGUGCUAUCGGCUUUCCGGCAACGGAAGGCAGGAAAGUCCGGACAGCACAGGGCAACGCACCACCUAACGGGUGGGUGCCCCGUUACGGCGGGGUAACAGACAGUGCCACAGAAAAUAACCGCCCGCUUCGGCGGGUAAGGGUGAAAAUGUGGGGUAAGCGCCCACGGCUGUGCCAGGCAACUGGUAUGGCGGGUAAACCUUGCGUGCUGAAAUGCCAUGUAAACGGUCGUUCGAGGGCGGCCCGUCCGAUGACCGAGGGUAGGCAGAUACAGGCGUUCAGUGAUGGGCGUCGCAGAUAAAUGAUAGCAGUUCCGGUGCAAACCGGGAUACAGAAUCCGGCUUAUAAGCUGUGCCGGGUG
RNAcentral lists this RNase P RNA (369 nucleotides) under Chitinophaga sp. XS-30. Its description in RNAcentral is "RNase P RNA component class A". It matches the Rfam family "Bacterial RNase P class A". From Rfam's summary of the family: Ribonuclease P (RNase P) is a ubiquitous endoribonuclease, found in archaea, bacteria and eukarya as well as chloroplasts and mitochondria. Lineage: Bacteria; Pseudomonadati; Bacteroidota; Chitinophagia; Chitinophagales; Chitinophagaceae. The record is from RNAcentral.